Molecule: ribosomal RNA, 497 nt
Filed under: Bacillus siamensis
Lineage: Bacteria; Bacillati; Bacillota; Bacilli; Caryophanales; Bacillaceae
Description: bacterial LSU rRNA
Rfam family: Bacterial large subunit ribosomal RNA
Source: RNAcentral
GGCGACUGUUUAGCAAAAACACAGGUCUCUGCGAAGCCGUAAGGCGAAGUAUAGGGGCUGACGCCUGCCCGGUGCUGGAAGGUUAAGAGGAGCGCUUAGCGUAAGCGAAGGUGCGAAUUGAAGCCCAAGUAAACGGCGGCCGUAACUAUAACGGUCCUAAGGUAGCGAAAUUCCUUGUCGGGUAAGUUCCGACCCGCACGAAAGGCGCAACGAUCUGGGCACUGUCUCAACGAGAGACUCGGUGAAAUUAUAGUACCUGUGAAGAUGCAGGUUACCCGCGACAGGACGGAAAGACCCCGUGGAGCUUUACUGCGAGACCUACAAGUCGAGCAGGGACGAAAGUCGGGCUUAGUGAUCCGGUGGUUCCGCAUGGAAGGGCCAUCGCUCAACGGAUAAAAGCUACCCCGGGGAUAACAGGCUUAUCUCCCCCAAGAGUCCACAUCGACGGGGAGGUUUGGCACCUCGAUGUCGGCUCAUCGCAUCCUGGGGCUGUAGUC